UGGGUGGUAUUUUAAUUAAACUGCACCAAUUGGAUAUUAAAAAUUUUAUUAUAGGAAGCUCAUAUCUUUUUAGAAUGAGACUGAUUA
Clostridium sp. is the source of this 87-nucleotide regulatory RNA element. It matches the Rfam family "pan motif". The record is from Rfam. NCBI's taxonomy places the organism in Bacteria, Bacillati, Bacillota, Clostridia, Eubacteriales, Clostridiaceae.